This 21-nucleotide microRNA is filed under the name Medicago truncatula (barrel medic). RNAcentral's name for it is "mtr-miR2199". Lineage: Eukaryota; Viridiplantae; Streptophyta; Magnoliopsida; Fabales; Fabaceae. The record is from miRBase by way of RNAcentral.
UGAUACACUAGCACGGAUCAC